RNAcentral lists this ribosomal RNA (433 nucleotides) under uncultured bacterium. Its description in RNAcentral is "partial 16S ribosomal RNA". It matches the Rfam family "Bacterial small subunit ribosomal RNA", at positions 29 to 507 of the family's 1533-position model. The record is from RNAcentral.
AACGAACGCUGGCGGCAUGCCUAACACAUGCAAGUCGAACGAGACCUUCGUGACUACUGGCUCACGGGUGCGUAACGCGUCGGAACCUGCCCUUAUGUUCCGAAUUACUCCCCUAAAGGGGUGCUAAUACCGGAUAAUUUCUUCUAACACAAGAUCUCUCGCCUUUGGAUGGGCCCGAGUUGGAAUAGCUGGUUGGUAGGGUAAAAGCCUACCAAGGCUACGAUCCAUAGCUGGUAUGAGAGGAUGAGCAGCCACACUGGGUCUGAGACACGGCCCAGAAUAAUACGGAAGGGAGGAGUGGGGAAUAUUGGAAAAUCGGGUAAAGGAUGAACGAGCAAGGGUGCGUGAGUGAUGAAGGUCGGAGAGUUGAAAAGCUGUUUAAACCGGGACGAUAAUGACAGUACCGAGAGAAUAAGCACCGGCUAACUUCGUG